ACGGGGUUUGCCUUAGUACGGCGAGUGAAGCGGCAAAAGCUCAAAUUUGAAAUCUGGUACCUUCGGUGCCCGAGUUGUAAUUUGGAGAGGGCAACUUUGGGGCCGUUCCUUGUCUAUGUUCCUUGGAACAGGACGUCAUAGAGGGUGAGAAUCCCGUGUGGCGAGGAGUGCGGUUCUUUGUAAAGUGCCUUCGAAGAGUCGAGUUGUUUGGGAAUGCAGCUCUAAGUGGGUGGUAAAUUCCAUCUAAAGCUAAAUAUUGGCGAGAGACCGAUAGCGAACAAGUACAGUGAUGGAAAGAUGAAAAGAACUUUGAAAAGAGAGUGAAAAAGUACGUGAAAUUGUUGAAAGGGAAGGGCAUUUGAUCAGACAUGGUGUUUUGUGCCCUCUGCUCCUUGUGGGUAGGGGAAUCUCGCAUUUCACUGGGCCAGCAUCAGUUUUGGUGGCAGGAUAAAUCCAUAGGAAUGUAGCUUGCCUCGGUAAGUAUUAUAGCCUGUGGGAAUACUGCCAGCUGGGACUGAGGACUGCGACGUAAGUCAAGGAUGCUGGCAUAAUGGUUAUAUGCCGCCCGUCCUGAAACACGAAAACGAAACAAAA
RNAcentral lists this ribosomal RNA (594 nucleotides) under Saccharomyces cerevisiae (brewer's yeast). Its description in RNAcentral is "eukaryotic LSU rRNA". It matches the Rfam family "Eukaryotic large subunit ribosomal RNA", at positions 68 to 664 of the family's 3401-position model. The record is from RNAcentral. Lineage: Eukaryota; Fungi; Ascomycota; Saccharomycetes; Saccharomycetales; Saccharomycetaceae.